This 1282-nucleotide ribosomal RNA is filed under the name Aulacochthebius sp. IBE<ESP> RA1155. RNAcentral describes it as "16S ribosomal RNA". The stretch from base 598 to 1282 matches the Rfam family "Archaeal large subunit ribosomal RNA", at positions 1423 to 2825 of the family's 2987-position model. The record is from RNAcentral. Lineage: Eukaryota; Metazoa; Arthropoda; Insecta; Coleoptera; Hydraenidae.
AUAUAAAAAAUUAUUGUUUUUUAUAUAAAAUAAAUAUAUUUAUGUUUAAUUAUUAGUUAAGAAAAAAUUUUUUUUAUCAUAGUUUAUAGUAUAGUAGUAGAAGUUUUAAAUAUUAUGAAAAUUUAAAUUUUAUAAAGAAUAAUUUAUUUUUAGUACCUUGUGUAUCAGGGGUUAUUAAAAAUAAGUUAAUAAUUUAAUUUUCUCGAAUUUAAAAGAGUUAAGAAAAUAUAAUUUUUAUUGUAAAAUAAAUAUUAAUAAUAUUUUUUUAGUAAUGAAACGUUAUUCGUUUUUAAUAAUAUCUAGUUUUUUAAUAAAAAAAUUUAAUUUUUUUAUUAAUAAAAAAUUAGUUAUUUAAUAAAUUAAUUUUUAUUAAUAGAAAAUAUUUUAAGGGAUAAGCUUUAAAAUAAAUUUGUAUAAUUUAUUUAUAAAAAAAAAUUAAAUAGAAUUAAAAAUUUUUAUUUUUAAUAAUUUGUUAUAAUUAUUUUUUUUUUUAUUAUUAUUUAUAUAAAAAUUUACGUUUUUUAUUAAAAUAUUUAAUUUAAUAUUAAAAUUAAAGUGAUAAUGAUAACAUUAGUAUAUAUUAUUGUUAAUAAAAAUUUUAUUAAUAAGGUUAAAUUAAGGAAUUCGGCAAUAUAUUUUUUCGCCUGUUUAUUAAAAACAUGUCUUUUUGAAUAUAAUUUAAAGUCUAACCUGCCCAAUGAUAGAUAUUUAAUGGCCGCAGUAUUUUGACUGUGCAAAGGUAGCAUAAUCAUUAGUUUUUUAAUUGAAAGCUAGAAUGAAUGGUUGAACGAAAAAAAUUCUGUCUCAAUUUAAUUUAAUUAGAAUUUUAUUUUUAAGUUAAAAAGCUUAAAUUUAAUUAAAAGACGAGAAGACCCUAUAGAGUUUUAUAAUAUAUGAAGUUUAAUUUUUAGUAAUUUUUUGACUUUAAAUAUUAUUUUAUUGGGGUGAUAAAUAAAUUAAAAUAACUUUAUUUUUAUAUAAACAUAUAUAAAUGAUUAAUUGAUCUAUGUAAUAUGAUUAUAAGAUUAAAUUACCUUAGGGAUAACAGCGUAAUUUUUUUAGAGAGUUCAAAUCGAAAAAAAAGAUUGCGACCUCGAUGUUGGAUUAAAAUUUAUUUUUGGUGUAGAAGCUAAAAAAAUUGAGUCUGUUCGACUUUUAAAAUUUUACAUGAUCUGAGUUUAAACCGGUGUGAGCCAGGUUGGUUUCUAUCUUUAAUAAAAUUAGAUAUUUUAGUACGAAAGGACCAAAUAUUAAUUAAAUUAGUUUGAUUUUGAUUAUUAUU